CCCCACUGCUAUCGGGGUAGGACUAAGGCAUGCUAGUUGCGUCUUCAAGUUAUGGUGGAGAUGAAGCGUACAGCUCAGUAACACGUAGUUAACCUGCCCUUGGGACGGAGAUAACCCCGGGAAACUGGGGAUAAUACUCGAUGAGUGAGAGUGCCUGGAAUGGCUUCUCGCCGAAAUGGUGACAGAACCAUACUUUUUGUUAUCGCCCAAGGAUGGAACUGCGGCCGAUCAGGUUGUUGGUGAGGUAACGGCUCACCAAGCCUAUAACCGGUACGGGCCGUGAGAGCGGUAGCCCGGAGAUGGGCACUGAGAUAAGGGCCCAGGCCCUACGGGGCGCAGCAGCUACGAAAACUCUGCUAUGCGCGAAAGCGCGACAGGGCUACCCCGAGUGCCGUCCGCUGAGGAUGGCUUUUAUUCGGCGUAAGUCGAAGGAAUAAGGGGAGGGCAAGCCUGGUGUCAGCCGCCGCGGUAAUACCAGCUCCUCAAGUGGUGGGGAUGAUUAUUGGGCCUAAAGCGCCCGUAGCCGGUUCGGUAAGUCUUCUGUUAAAUCCAACGACUCAAUCGUUGGACUGCGGGAGAUACUGCUGGACUAGGAGGCGGAAGAAGCCGACGGUACUCUUAGGGUAGGGGUGAAAUCCUAUAAUCCUAAGAGGACCACCAGUGGCGAAGGCGGUCGGCUAGAACGCGCUCGACGGUGAGGGACGAAAGCCUGGGGAGCGAUCCGGAUUAGAUACCCGGGUAGUCCAGGCCGUAAACGAUGCAGGCUAGGUGUUGGCAUGACUACGAGUUAUGCCAGUGCCGCAGGGAAGCCGUUAAGCCUGCCGCCUGGGAAGUACGGUCGCAAGAUUGAAACUUAAAGGAAUUGGCGGGGGAGCACCACAAGGGGUGAAGCUUGCGGUUCAAUUGGAGUCAACGCCGGGAACCUUACCGGAGAAGACAGCAGAAUGAAGGCCAGAUUGAAGGUCUUGCCAGACAAGCUGAGAGGAGGCGCAUGGCCGUCGCCAGUUCGUGCCGUGAGGUGUCCUGUUAAGUCAGGCAACGAUCGAGACCCAUACUUCUUGUUGCCAUCGGCACUCCGAAAGGAGGCCAGGCACACUAGAAGGACUGCCGCCGAUAAGGUGGAGGAGGGAAUGGGCCGCGGCAGGUCAGUAUGCCCCGAAUUCUCCGGGCUACACGCGAGCUGCAAUGGUAGGGACAAUGAGUUCCGACCUCGAAAGGGGAAGGUAAUCCCUAAACCCUGCCUCAGUUGGGAUCGAGGGCUGAAACCCGCCCUCGUGAAUCAUGGAAUCCCUAGUAAUCGCGCGUCAUCAUCGCGCGGUGAAUACGUCCCCGCUCCUUGCACACACCGCCCGUCGCUCCAUCCGAGUGAGGUCUAGGUGAGGUGUGGUCCUUAAGGGCUGCUUCGAAUCUGGGUUUCGUAAGGAGGGAG
This 1429-nucleotide ribosomal RNA is filed under the name uncultured archaeon. RNAcentral describes it as "bacterial SSU rRNA". It matches the Rfam family "Archaeal small subunit ribosomal RNA". The record is from RNAcentral.